GGCUCAGGAUGAACGCUGGCGGUAUGCUUAACACAUGCAAGUCGAACGGAAUGCUUAGGCAUUUAGUGGCGGACGGGUGAGUAACGCGUGAGAAUUUGGCUUCAGGUCGGGGACAACAGUUGGAAACGACUGCUAAUACCGGAUAUGCCGGAAGGUGAAAGGCUUGCUGCCUGAAGAUAAGCUCGCGUCUGAUUAGCUAGUUGGUAGUGUAAGGGACUACCAAGGCGACGAUCAGUAGCUGGUCUGAGAGGAUGAUCAGCCACACUGGGACUGAGACACGGCCCAGACUCCUACGGGAGGCAGCAGUGGGGAAUUUUCCGCAAUGGGCGAAAGCCUGACGGAGCAAUACCGCGUGAGGGAGGAAGGCUCUUGGGUCGUAAACCUCUUUUCUCAAGGAAAAAAAAAAUGACGGUACUUGAGGAAUAAGCAUCGGCUAACUCCGUGCCAGCAGCCGCGGUAAUACGGAGGAUGCAAGCGUUAUCCGGAAUGAUUGGGCGUAAAGGGUCCGCAGGUGGUACUGUAAGUCUGCUGUUAAAGAGUCUGGCUCAACCAGAUAAAAGCAGUGGAAACUACAGAACUAGAGUGCGUUCGGGGCAGAAGGAAUUCCUGGUGUAGCGGUGAAAUGCGUAGAUAUCAGGAAGAACACCGGUGGCGAAAGCGUUCUGCUAGGCCGCAACUGACACUGAGGGACGAAAGCUAGGGGAGCGAAUGGGAUUAGAUACCCCAGUAGUCCUAGCCGUAAACGAUGGAUACUAGGCGUGGCUUGUAUCGACCCGAGCCGUGCCGGAGCUAACGCGUUAAGUAUCCCGCCUGGGGAGUACGCACGCAAGUGUGAAACU
Molecule: ribosomal RNA, 839 nt
Filed under: uncultured bacterium
Lineage: Bacteria
Description: bacterial SSU rRNA
Rfam family: Bacterial small subunit ribosomal RNA
Source: RNAcentral